This 491-nucleotide ribosomal RNA is filed under the name uncultured bacterium. RNAcentral's name for it is "partial 16S ribosomal RNA". It matches the Rfam family "Bacterial small subunit ribosomal RNA", at positions 29 to 507 of the family's 1533-position model. The record is from RNAcentral.
AGUGAACGCUGGCGUAGGCCUAACACCUGCAAGUCGAACGGCAGCACAGUAAGAGCUUGCUCUUACGGGUGGCGAGUGGCGGACGGGUGAGGAAUACAUCGGAAUCUACUUUUUCGUGGGGGAUAACGUAGGGAAACUUACGCUAAUACCGCAUACGACCUACGGGUGAAAGCAGGGGAUCUUCGGACCUUGCGCGAUUGAAUGAGCCGAUGUCGGAUUAGCUAGUUGGCGGGGUAAAGGCCCACCAAGGCGACGAUCCGUAGCUGGUCUGAGAGGAUGAUCAGCCACACUGGAACUGAGACACGGUCCAGACUCCUACGGGAGGCAGCAGUGGGGAAUAUUGGACAAUGGGCGCAAGCCUGAUCCAGCCAUACCGCGUGGGUGAAGAAGGCCUUCGGGUUGUAAAGCCCUUUUGUUGGGAAAGAAAAGCAGCAGGUUAAUACCCCGCUGUUCUGACGGUACCCAAAGAAUAAGCACCGGCUAACUUCGUG